AUGGCUUGGUGCCAUGAUUGCAGGAGAACUGUUGAAAAGAGUCUGGCUCCCACUGUCGCUCUAGCCAUGCAAUGCUGCUCCCCUCUGCCUUCCACCAUGAGUGGAAGCGUCCUGAGGCCUCCCCAAAAGCAGACGCUGGAGCCAUGCUCUGUGUACAAUCUGCAGAACCGUGAACGAAAUAACCUCUUUUCUUUAGAAAUUACCAUUUCCAGUAUCCCUUCACAGCAACUCAAUCAGACGGAGACCCUGAGUACCCACUGUACAGAACCAUGGUGGGAGAGGGUGGAGAGGAAAGGCAGUCACACAGCAACAUCAGGGCCCAGGAUCAACGUGGAAUCCCAUCACCUUUGGAUUUCUUGUUACAUAAGUCAGUCCAUGGAUGAAAGAGCGUGUCAGAGACGUCAUAUUUUUCUGGCUGAAUAUUCUUGACAAUGUGAAGUCAUACUGCAGAAUCCAAUCGCCGAGUUGGGUUGGAUGUUUCAUUCUGAAAAGUGCUGCGAAUCUGACCCUCUCUGCUCCAGUCAAGGACUCAGUGGAGUUGCUACUUUAGGACAUUCUCAAAGCAUUGGAAGAGCCAAGUGUUGAUAGGCGGCACACGGUGACAAGGAGGGUCUAGAUCACCAUUAUAGACACUUCACAAAUAAUUGGUUGUUUUAACUGUUCUAUGCAGCCGAGUCCAAAACUCAAGACUCAAGUCUAAUUUAAAGACAUUGAUUGAAAUAGGUUAUCAAAUUGACUUUACUUCUUCAUCACAGAAUGACGUAAGAAAGCAGAAUAUGGGGGAAAACGCUCUAAAAAUCUAGCAAGCCAUUCCAUUCAACCCAUUUCUUCAGACUCUCCCAUGGCUGAAAUCUCAGUGGCAAUCCCCUGACCACCAGGAGGGCAGCAACUGCAUCUCUAGCCACAUGCCUUUGAUUGUGUAGCUGUCAUUUCCAGCAACUGCACAAGGGCAGGCUGCAGCUGCUCUAGAUCAAGGACACCCUCAGCUGGCCCAGGAGGAAGUUCCCCAAGAGGCUUUCAUGGCCAUCCCAUAAUAGACACCAACUCAAAUUCCCCUGUGAACUAGGGUCGCUGUCCAGCACACCAUCACCACAGCAUGCCUCCAAGCAGAGGACACUCCAUACCUCUUCCAAAUUAACGGCACAGCUAACAUACAGUAGUGGGACUCUAAUCAGUCCCCACUUAUGCAUUCAUCCCUGAGUAGUAAAAGAGCUGUAGUAGCAAUUUGAUAUCAGCACUAAGACUAAAGCCUCAUUCUCUGAAGCACAUGUUAUAACUGGAAUGUCACCUUCCUGAUUGGGGAAGAUUAUUUUCAAACCUCGCAGUCCUUUCUGCUCUCUGAAUUCUCCCAUUCUCUUCCUGACUGAUGAAUGCCAAGUUUAUUUCCUGGUUUUGGUACUGCAUGAAUUCUCCUGAAACUGGGAUAACCCUCUGUAAU
RNAcentral lists this long non-coding RNA (1438 nucleotides) under Callithrix jacchus (white-tufted-ear marmoset). Its description in RNAcentral is "lncRNA (ENSCJAG00000070197.1)". Lineage: Eukaryota; Metazoa; Chordata; Mammalia; Primates; Cebidae. The record is from RNAcentral.